UGGUCAUUUAGAGGAAGUAAAAGUCGUAACAAGGUUUCCGUAGGUGAACCUGCGGAAGGAUCAUUACAAGUGAGGCUACCGAACGUUGGAAACAGCGGUUAGGAGCUUACACCCACCCGUGUUUACAUACUAUUGUUGCUUUGGCGGGCCGUGGCCUCCACUGCGGGCUCUGCUCGUGUGUGCCCGCCAGAGAACCAAACUCUGAAUGUUAGUGAUGUCUGAGUACUAUCUAAUAGUUAAAACUUUCAACAACGGAUCUCUUGGUUCUGGCAUCGAUGAAGAACGCAGCGAAAUGCGAUAAGUAAUGUGAAUUGCAGAAUUCAGUGAAUCAUCGAAUCUUUGAACGCACAUUGCGCCCUGUGGUAUUCCGCAGGGCAUGCCUGUUCGAGCGUCAUUUAACCACUCACGCCUAGCGUGGUAUUGGGGCACGCGGUCUCCGCGGCCCUCAAAAUUAGUGGCGGCGCCGGUGGGCUCUAAGCGUAGUACAUACUCCCGCUAUAGAGUUCCCCCCGGUGGCUCGCCAGAACCCCCAAUUUUUUACAGGUUGACCUCGGAUCAGGUAGGGAUACCCGCUGAACUUAAGCAUAUCAAUAAGCGGAGGA
This 602-nucleotide ribosomal RNA is filed under the name uncultured Phialocephala. RNAcentral's name for it is "eukaryotic LSU rRNA". The stretch from base 241 to 394 matches the Rfam family "5.8S ribosomal RNA". Lineage: Eukaryota; Fungi; Ascomycota; Leotiomycetes; Helotiales. The record is from RNAcentral.